UAGGGAAUCUUGCGCAAUGGGCGAAAGCCUGACGCAGCCAUGCCGCGUGAAUGAUGAAGGUCUUAGGAUUGUAAAAUUCUUUCACCGGGGAAGACAAUGACGGUACCCGGAGAAGAAGCCCCGGCUAACUUCGUGCCAGCAGCCGCGGUAAUACGAAGGGGGCUAGCGUUGCUCGGAAUUACUGGGCGUAAAGGGCGCGUAGGCGGAUAUUUAAGUUGGGGGUGAAAGCCCGGGGCUCAACCUCGGAAUAGCCUUCAAUACUGGAUAUCUUGAGUUCGGGAGAGGUGAGUGGAAUGCCGAGUGUAGAGGUGAAAUUCGUAGAUAUUCGGCGGAACACCAGUGGCGAAGGCGACUCACUGGCCCGAUACUGACGCUGAGGCGCGAAAGCGUGGGGAGCAAACAGGAUUAGAUACCCUGGUAGUCCACGCCGUAAACGAUGAGUGCUAGUUGUCGGCAUGCAUGCAUGUCGGUGACGCAGCUAACGCAUUAAGCACUCCGCCUGGGGAGUACGGUCGCAAGAUUAAAACUCAAAUGAAUUGACGGGGGUCAUAGCUGUUUCCUG
RNAcentral lists this ribosomal RNA (562 nucleotides) under uncultured bacterium. Its description in RNAcentral is "partial 16S ribosomal RNA". It matches the Rfam family "Bacterial small subunit ribosomal RNA", at positions 355 to 941 of the family's 1533-position model. The record is from RNAcentral.